Molecule: ribosomal RNA, 493 nt
Filed under: uncultured bacterium
Lineage: Bacteria
Description: bacterial SSU rRNA
Rfam family: Bacterial small subunit ribosomal RNA
Source: RNAcentral
AUUGAACGCUGGCGGAAUGCUUUACACAUGCAAGUCGAACGGCAGCACGGACUUCGGUCUGGUGGCGAGUGGCGAACGGGUGAGUAAUACAUCGGAACGUGCCCGGACGUGGGGGAUAACUACUCGAAAGAGUGGCUAAUACCGCAUACGAUCCAAGGAUGAAAGCGGGGGAUCGCAAGACCUCGCGCGUUUGGAGCGGCCGAUGGCAGAUUAGGUAGUUGGUGAGGUAAAGGCUUACCAAGCCUGCGAUCUGUAGCUGGUCUGAGAGGAUGAUCAGCCACACUGGGACUGAGACACGGCCCAGACUCCUACGGGAGGCAGCAGUGGGGAAUUUUGGACAAUGGGCGCAAGCCUGAUCCAGCAAUGCCGCGUGCAGGAAGAAGGCCUUCGGGUUGUAAACUAGCUUUUGUCUAGGGAAGAAAUACUUCUGGGCUAAUACCCCGGAGGAUGACGGUACCUGAAGAAUAAGCACCGGCUAACUACGUGCCAGACG